RNAcentral lists this long non-coding RNA (1778 nucleotides) under Medicago truncatula (barrel medic). Its description in RNAcentral is "long non-coding RNA (MTRU_LNC004640)". The record is from RNAcentral. Lineage: Eukaryota; Viridiplantae; Streptophyta; Magnoliopsida; Fabales; Fabaceae.
UGCCUAAAAUUAGUUGAUUAUCAAGAGGGACGGAAGUAAAUAUACGAGAUAAGGAUACACUGUCUUAUUUCAUUUCAUUGUCAAUAUUUUAGAGUACAAAAUCAUGAUUUCAAAGUCCAUAAAAUUUCAAAAAGAAAAAAGAAAAAUACAAUUAUUCGGUGCAUGCACAAAAACCAAAUGACAGCUCCUCGAAUAUUCCAGUAUAAAGUAUAAUCUGCAAUUAUUUUGCUAGAGCAGAAACUCAUUCAUCUAACUAGCCUCUGCUGGCAGUGGCCUUUACGACACCUACCAAUAUAGUUUCUCCCAUUUGGACAAUCUUUAUCUGUUAUACAAGUUUCAGUAUUUGCUACAAAAGCAGAAUCACAUACUAUUAAGACAAGAAACAAUGAAAUAAAUAGAAUCAAAACAUAAACAAACUUCAGAGUUUCAGCCAUAUUUUUCGUUCUUUGCAUUUAAAAGAUAGGAUAAGAUUUGAUAUAAAUAUAGUGUAUAAAAUUUAUGCUCUAAUAAAAAUAAUUAAAUGUUUGAAUAUUUUUAAAAUUUUAAAACCCUUCAUAAAAUUAUAAUAAUAAAUGUCUCUUCAGUAUAUAAGUGGGUUGUGUUUGUUCUUUCCACACCUAGAAAGAAGUUCAACUAUUAAACUUGAUAAUCAUAAGCAUUGAAUAUUAUUUGACUAAUUUUUCGGAUAUUACUUUAUCCUUUCGUUAUAAUAAAGGGAAAAAAUAUUUUUGAAUAUCAUAAUAUUAACUACAAAUAUAAUGCACCAUUGAGAUUGAGACCAUAUUUAUGCACAAGUAGAAUGCACUUAGGAUCAAUUUUAUUUUUUUUAUUUAAUCAUUGGAUCUUAAAUAAUAAAGUUCAUAACUUUUUUAUCCUUUCGUGAUAAUAAAGGGAAAAAAAUAGUUUUUUGAAUAUCAUAAAAUUAUCUACGGAUAUAAUGAACCACUAGGAUAGAGACCGUAACGUCUGUUUUGAUUAAUUAAUUAUUUUGUUGAGUUUAGAAUAUAUUUAUAUGAUUUAUGUGAUUUAAGUGAUUUAUGUGAUUUAAUGAGGUGUUGUGACUUAUUUUAUUGUUUAAUAAAAUAAGAUUUGAAAAUAAAAAAAAAAAUAUUGAGAUGAGGGGUUGUUUUGAGAUUUUAGAGAGUUUUGGGGAAGAAAGAGGAAAUAAGAUAGAAUAGAUAUAAAUAGGUGAGAGCUAGGUUUAGAAAAGUUUAACGUACGAUCAAUUUUGGAGAAAAUGGAGAAAAGUCAAGAGAAGAGAGAAGAACCAACAAGAGGCUGCGAUUUCAAAUUCUUAAGGUAAGGACGAGACUAACAUUCAAUCUUAUUAAGUCUGUAAUUCUGAUAGUUGUAUUUAACAAGUGUAGGAUUAGUUUUAGACAAUUGGAGAAUCAGGUUAAAGUGAGGAAUUGAUGAUUAAUUGAUGAAAAAGUGUUAGAUUGAUGUAGAAACUGUUUACAGACCUUAGAUAAUCCAUAGUUUGAUAUUUGGAAUCAAUGUUAAGCUUAAAACCAUGCCUUUAGGUGGAUUUUCGUGAAAACUGCAAUUAUGCCAGAGCAAACAUUCAUCGCUCGCCUCCCGAGUGAUGAUCCUCGCCCUCGCGAGUGGUGAUCUUCAUUGUUCGCCUCGCGAGUUGCACCUUGCAGCUCGCCAUAGCGAGUGUGACCAGUGAGUCGACCAUGAUUUUGUAAAUUGAUCCUUUAGUCGAGCUCUAGAUGUUUUUUAGUGCCUGAAUAUGUAUAAUAAUGAUUAGGCAAGUUUUUAGAUUGAGAUUGAAC